This 809-nucleotide ribosomal RNA is filed under the name uncultured bacterium. Its description in RNAcentral is "bacterial SSU rRNA". It matches the Rfam family "Bacterial small subunit ribosomal RNA", at positions 57 to 861 of the family's 1533-position model. The record is from RNAcentral.
GCAAGUCGAGCGGUAGAGGGAAGCUUGCUUCUCUUGAGAGCGGCGGACGCCCGUUAAAUGCCUAGGAAUCUGCCUAGUGGUGGGGGAUAACGCCCGGAAACGGACGCUAAUACCGCAUACGUCCUACGGGAGAAAGCGGGGGAUCUUCGGACCUCGCGCCAUUAGAUGAGCCUAGGUCGGAUUAGCUAGUUGGUGAGGUAAUGGCUCACCAAGGCGACGAUCCGUAACUGGUCUGAGAGGAUGAUCAGUCACACUGGAACUGAGACACGGUCCAGACUCCUACGGGAGGCAGCAGUGGGGAAUAUUGGACAAUGGGCGAAAGCCUGAUCCAGCCAUGCCGCGUGUGUGAAGAAGGUCUUCGGAUUGUAAAGCACUUUAAGUUGGGAGGAAGAGUAGUAACCUAAUACGUUGCUACUUUGACGUUACCGACAGAAUAAGCACCGGCUAACUUCGUGCCAGCAGCCGCGGUAAUACGAAGGGUGCAAGCGUUAAUCGGAAUUACUGGGCGUAAAGCGCGCGUAGGUGGUUCAGUAAGUUGGAAGUGAAAUCCCCGGGCUCAACCUGGGAACUGCUUUCAAAACUGCUGAGCUAGAGUACGGUAGAGGGUGGUGGAAUUUCCUGUGUAGCGGUGAAAUGCGUAGAUAUAGGAAGGAACACCAGUGGCGAAGGCGACCACCUGGACUGAUACUGACACUGAGGUGCGAAAGCGUGGGGAGCAAACAGGAUUAGAUACCCUGGUAGUCCACGCCGUAAACGAUGUCAACUAGCCGUUGGAAUCCUUGAGAUUUUAGUGGCGCAGCUAACGCCAU